GAUGAACGCUGGCGGCGUGCCUAACACAUGCAAGUCGAGCGAACGGACGAGAAGCUUUCUUGUCGGAUGUUAGCGGCGGACGGGAUAGAACCAAGUGUACAACAUACCUAUAGGAAACGGAUAACAUCGGGAAAUCGUACCUAAUACCGGAUAAGAUUUUGAACCGCAUGGUUUAAAAGCUAAAGAGGGCCUUGCUGUCGCUGAUAGAUGGAGCCGCGCUGGAUUAGCUAGUUGGUAAGGUAACGGCUUACCAAGGCGACGAUGCAUAGCAGACCUGAGAGGGUGAUCGGCCACACUGGAACUGAGACACGGCCCAGACUCCUACGGGAGGCAGCAGUGGGGAAUCUUCCACAAAGGGCGAAAGCCUGAUCCAGCAACGCCGCGUGCGUGAUGAAGGUCUUCGGAUCGUAAAACGCUGUUAUUAGGGAAGAAAAUAUGUUUUCGUAACUGUGCACAUCUUGACGGUACCUAAUCAAAAAGCCACGGCUAACUACGUG
This 497-nucleotide ribosomal RNA is filed under the name uncultured bacterium. RNAcentral's name for it is "partial 16S ribosomal RNA". It matches the Rfam family "Bacterial small subunit ribosomal RNA", at positions 28 to 507 of the family's 1533-position model. The record is from RNAcentral.